GUAUUAGGUUUUUUAAAGGCAAUAAAUGCCCAACAUAACAUUCAUUGUCAUACAUUUGUGAUAAAAAGACAUAGACCAGAAGACAGGCAAAGGAAAGCUGGCAUCAGCAAUCCUUUCAACCGAGUUUGACCUCGGAAAGGUAGUCCCACAGUCUACAAAAGGUGCACAGGUGGUAAAAGAAGAUGGUGCCAGGCGUGCACAUGCCCCCCAAGGAGAGAGACCAGCAUCAGCCCGACCAAGUUCAUUCAAUAAUGAUCCUUCCGCAGGUUCACCUACGGAAA
This 281-nucleotide unclassified non-coding RNA is filed under the name uncultured fungus. RNAcentral describes it as "sequence contains ITS1". The record is from RNAcentral. Lineage: Eukaryota; Fungi.